AUUGAACGCUGGCGGCAGGCCUAACACAUGCAAGUCGAGCGAGCGGCGGACGGGUGAGUAAUGUCCGGGAAACUGCCCGAUGGAGGGGGAUAACUACUGGAAACGGUAGCUAAUACCGCAUACCAUCAGAUGUGCCCAGAUGGGAUUAGCUUGUGGGUGGGGUAACGGCUCACCUAGGCGACGAUCCCUAGCCGGUCUGAGAGGAUGACCAGCCACACUGGAACUGGGACACGGUCCAGACUCCUACGAGAGGCAGCAGUGGGGAAUAUUGCACAAUGGGCGCAAGCCUGAUGCAGCCAUGCCGCGUGUGUGAAGAAGGCCUUCGGGUUGUAAAGCACUUUCAGCGGGGAGGCGUUACCCGCAGAAGAAGCACCGGCUAACUCUGUGCCAGCAGCCGCGGUAAUAC
RNAcentral lists this ribosomal RNA (406 nucleotides) under uncultured bacterium. RNAcentral's name for it is "partial 16S ribosomal RNA". It matches the Rfam family "Bacterial small subunit ribosomal RNA", at positions 30 to 526 of the family's 1533-position model. The record is from RNAcentral.